Pan troglodytes (chimpanzee) is the source of this 600-nucleotide long non-coding RNA. RefSeq lists it as uncharacterized. The transcript is spliced from 3 exons. The record is from RefSeq and is a predicted model, not a curated record. Lineage: Eukaryota; Metazoa; Chordata; Mammalia; Primates; Hominidae.
UGUGAGAGGGAGGUGAGAAAGAUGUCUAGGACAGAGAAAGGGAGGUUGCAGUAUUCCACAUUCCAGUGCAAGCACGAGGAGGCGCAGGAGAGGGAGACACUUAAGUCAAACACGUACCACAUUCAUAUCUACUGACACGCCAGCACUGAUUUCAAGGAGAAUAUAUCCAUACCGCAUACAGGAAGAAAAUCAACACCAUGUCAAAAAUUACACGCAAGUGAGGAAACACAUCAAAUCUAAAUCACAAGGAAAUCUCAUUCCCAGUAAGUGGCCUAUGAAACAAACUUCAAUAAUCUGCUGAAAGAAGCCUCUUCUCAUAUUUUAUGGGAAUAGAGAGAAAAGAGAGACUUCAAGAUAAUUAGGGAGAGAAGAGUUCUUACAUAUCAAGAAAAAUCUUCAAGACUGAAAUGGCACUUCUCACAGCGUUCAUAUGAACUGCAUAAAGGGGCCUCUUUCCUGAGAAAACACGUUAAAUGAAGAUUCAUCAGCUUCAAAAUAUAGACAAGAUGUAUUUAAGUAAUGGAGGGAAAGGCUUGAUGGCUCUCCAAUCUAAAGUGUGUCCAAUAUAUGUAUUUUUUAAUUAUGGGAUAAUAAAAUAUU